This is a small nuclear RNA of Serinus canaria (Common canary), 100 nucleotides long. NCBI's taxonomy places the organism in Eukaryota, Metazoa, Chordata, Aves, Passeriformes, Fringillidae. The record is from RefSeq and is a predicted model, not a curated record.
GUGCUGGAUGAAAGGAGAGACGAUCAGCACUCCCUUUGGAAAGGAUGGAAGAUGUAAAAAAAUGCAGACACUGCCACCUACUUUGUGGCAUCUAACCAAC